GGGCCCGCACAAGCAGUGGAGCAUGUGGUUUAAUUCGAUGAUACGCGAAGAACCUUACCAGGACUUGACAUCCUUAGAAUCUUUAGAGAUAGAAGAGUGCCUUCGGGAACUAAGUGACAGGUGGUGCAUGGCUGUCGUCAGCUCGUGUCGUGAGAUGUUGGUUAAGUCCCGCAACGAGCGCAACCCCUAUUUUGUGUUGCCAGCAUUUCGGAUGGGAACUCACAAAAGACUGCCUGUGAUAAGCAGGAGGAAGGUGGGGACGACGUCAAGUCAUCAUGCCCCUUACGUCCUGGGCUACACACAUGCUACAAUGGGCGGUACAAUGAGCAGCUAAGCCGCGAGGCC
RNAcentral lists this ribosomal RNA (345 nucleotides) under uncultured bacterium. RNAcentral describes it as "bacterial SSU rRNA". It matches the Rfam family "Bacterial small subunit ribosomal RNA", at positions 917 to 1264 of the family's 1533-position model. The record is from RNAcentral.